RNAcentral lists this ribosomal RNA (484 nucleotides) under uncultured bacterium. RNAcentral's name for it is "partial 16S ribosomal RNA". It matches the Rfam family "Bacterial small subunit ribosomal RNA", at positions 30 to 507 of the family's 1533-position model. The record is from RNAcentral.
AUUGAACGCUGGCGGCAUGCCUAACACAUGCAAGUCGAGCGGAUGAAGGGAGCUUGCUCCUGGAUUAAGCGGCGGACGGGUGAGUAAUGCCUAGGAAUCUGCCUGGUAGUGGGGGAUGACGUCCGGACACGGGCGCUAAUACCGCAUACGUCCUGAGGGUGAACGUGGGGGAUCUUCGGACCUCACGCUAUCAGAUGAGCCUAGGUCGGAUUAGCUAGUUGGUGGGGUAAAGGCCUACGAAGGCGACGAUCCGUAACUGGGCUGAGAGGAUGAUCAGUCACACUGGAACUGAGACACGGUCCAGAUUCCUACGGGAGGCAGCAGUGGGGAAUAUUCGACAAUGGGCGAAAGCCUGAUCCAGCCAUGCCGCGUGUGUGAAGAAGGUCUUCGGAUUGUAAAGCACUUUAAGUUGGGAGGAAGGGCAGUAAGUUAAUACCUUGCUGUUUUGACGUUACCAACAGAAUAAGCACCGGCUAACUUCGUG